Molecule: unclassified non-coding RNA, 809 nt
Filed under: Lingula anatina
Lineage: Eukaryota; Metazoa; Brachiopoda; Lingulata; Lingulida; Lingulidae
Description: methyltransferase-like protein 27, transcript variant X3
Source: RNAcentral
CUCUCAACCAUCUAAAUGAACAGCUCAAAUCAAGCACCAAUCAAAAGAGACAACUUAAUCGCAAUGCUUCUGGCUUACACCACAUGUGUUCAAGUAUCAAGUUUCAUUUUCUGGUUGGUGUUUCUGCUACAGAAUUAUUCGGCCCUGUUGCUCAAACAAAGAAACAAGCGGUUUCACCCCGAAUCUGUCGCUGAAACCGAAAAACAGAAAUAUACCAUGGCUCACUACGAAAAAGGAAUGAAAGAUGUUCCAGGUGAAGAUAUUCACGCGUACAACACAAAUUAUUCGGCGCACCGAGAAGGCAUCGCACCCGAAGAAAUGGUUGAAAUUUACAACAAGUGGGGAGAAAACUAUGAAAAGGAUUUUGCCGGGCGCUACAAUGGACCAGUUAUAGCAGCAACUUCGUUGGCGGAGCACUUCGAGAAAGGCAGGCGUGAUGCGUACGUCUUGGACGUCGCGGCAGGGACUGGUAUGGUUGGCGAACAAUUGCAUCAUAGAGGUUUUACUGCCAUCGACGGUCUAGAUCCUUCCAAGACAUUACUGAACAUAGCAGAAAGGAAAAAUAUUUAUGGGCGGUUAAUUAAUAGCUUCAUUACCUCUGAACCCACUGCCAGUAUUGAAGAAGGUAAUGAGAACAUCGAAAUCAUAAAAACACGUACGAUGCCAUUGUAAUUUCGGGCGGAAUGGGAGAAGGGCAUAUAAAAUGUUCAGCUCUAAAUGAAAUGAUUCGAAUAGUGAAAAAAGGAGGUCUUAUUUGUAUCGUCAUGAGAGAAGAAUACCUUGAUUAUGUAGAGGAAUAUAAAAACCUG